UACGUAGGUGGCAAGCGUUGUCCGGAUUUACUGGGCGUAAAGAGCGCGCAGGCGGUCGUUCAAGUCGCGUGUGAAAGCCCCCGGCUCAACUGGGGAGGGUCACGCGAUACUGAUCGACUGGAAGGCAGGAGAGGGUAGUGGAAUUCCCGGUGUAGUGGUGAAAUGCGUAGAUAUCGGGAGGAACACCCGUGGCGAAGGCGGCCAACUGGGCCGACCCUGACGCUGAGGCGCGAAGGCGUGGGGAGCGAACGGG
Molecule: ribosomal RNA, 253 nt
Filed under: uncultured bacterium
Lineage: Bacteria
Description: partial 16S ribosomal RNA
Rfam family: Bacterial small subunit ribosomal RNA
Source: RNAcentral